ACUCCUACGGGAGGCAGCAGUGGGGAAUAUUGCACAAUGGGCGCAAGCCUGAUGCAGCCAUGCCGCGUGUGUGAAGAAGGCCUUCGGGUUGUAAAGCACUUUCAGUCGUGAGGAAGGUAGUGUAGUUAAUAGCUGCAUUAUUUGACGUUAGCGACAGAAGAAGCACCGGCUAACUCCGUGCCAGCAGCCGCGGUAAUACGGAGGGGGUUAGCGUUGUUCGGAAUUACUGGGCGUAAAGCGCGCGUAGGCGGACAUUUAAGUCAGGGGUGAAAUCCCGGGGCUCAACCCCGGAACUGCCCUUGAUACUGGGUGUCUUGAGUUCGAGAGAGGUGAGUGGAAUUCCGAGUGUAGAGGUGAAAUUCGUAGAUAUUCGGAGGAACACCAGUGGCGAAGGCGGCUCACUGGCUCGAUACUGACGCUGAGGUGCGAAAGUGUGGGGAGCAAACAGGAUUAGAUACCCUGGUAGGCUCU
This 471-nucleotide ribosomal RNA is filed under the name uncultured bacterium. RNAcentral describes it as "bacterial SSU rRNA". It matches the Rfam family "Bacterial small subunit ribosomal RNA", at positions 335 to 798 of the family's 1533-position model. The record is from RNAcentral.